UCUAUUUGUCAAUAUAAAAAGUCUAACCUGCCCACUGAUAGUUAUAAAUUUAAGGGCCGCGGUAUUAUGACUGUGCAAAGGUAGCAUAAUCAUUAGGUUUUUAAAUGGAAUCUUGUAUGAAUGGUUGGACAAGAGAGAAACUGUCUUUACAUUAGAAUUUGAAUUUAACUUUUAAGUGAGAAGGCUUAAAUAACCUAGGGGGACGAUAAGACCCUAUAAAAUUUUACAUUAUAAUUAUAUUUUAUAGAAUUUGGGUAAUAAAAAUUUAUUUAAUUAUUUUGUUUUGUUGGGGCGACAAAAGUAAAAAUUAUACUAACUGCUUUGUAUAAAACCAAUUAUAAGUGAGUAACCAAAACAAUGAUCCUAAUUAUUGAUUUAAAGAUUAAGUUACUUUAGGGAUAACAGUGUAAUUUUUUUUGAGAGUCCAUAUCGAAAAAAAAGUUUGCAACCUCGAUGUUGAAUUAAAAUAUCUAUAUAAUGCAGCUGUUAUAUAAGAAGGUCUGUUCGACCUUU
RNAcentral lists this ribosomal RNA (513 nucleotides) under Vela virupa. RNAcentral's name for it is "partial 16S ribosomal RNA". It matches the Rfam family "Archaeal large subunit ribosomal RNA", at positions 1908 to 2658 of the family's 2987-position model. Lineage: Eukaryota; Metazoa; Arthropoda; Malacostraca; Decapoda; Gecarcinucidae. The record is from RNAcentral.